GUCUGGAAGGGGGAGACAGACGAGAAAACACGAACAAUACAGAGAAGAUUAGCAUGGCCCCUGUGCAAGGAUGACACGCAAAUUCGUGAUGCGUUCCAUAUUUUU
Molecule: small nuclear RNA, 105 nt
Organism: Tachyglossus aculeatus (Australian echidna)
Lineage: Eukaryota; Metazoa; Chordata; Mammalia; Monotremata; Tachyglossidae
Source: RefSeq, a predicted model, not a curated record